GUGUUGAGUUAAGUUUUAACAGAUGAAUCUAAAUAGUGGGCCAUCGGUUCUCAAUCUUGAAUAAAAAAUAUUUUGGUAUAGAUCUUUUUCCUUCAAAAUUUGAAGUUUGAACUCUUUUGAUCGAUAUUAUUCCUCUGACUGAUUGAAAAAGAUUGAGGUUAUCUAUUGAUAUUAAAGAUUGUUCUACAAAAGAUGGAUUGAAGUUAUUUAUAAUUUAAUCUAAUAAUGAAUUGAUUAAUUAAGAGUAGUUAAUAUUUAGAUAAAGAAAAUUGAUAUACUUACUUAGAAUAGAG
RNAcentral lists this long non-coding RNA (293 nucleotides) under Elaeis guineensis (African oil palm). RNAcentral's name for it is "long non-coding RNA (EGUI_LNC072907)". The record is from RNAcentral. Lineage: Eukaryota; Viridiplantae; Streptophyta; Magnoliopsida; Arecales; Arecaceae.